CACUCGCGGCCGUGGGUGCAUAUGGCGCCUCCCGCCUCUCGCGGUCUGGGUCCGGGCUGAGCGGGGUGGACGCCGGGCCCCGCGGGACUCCGCGGCCGUGGCGCCUCCCGCCUCCCGCGGUCUGGGCCCCGGGCUGAGCGGGGUGGACGCCGGGCCCCGCGGGACUCCGCGGCCCUGACGGAGGAGCGGCUCGGCCAGAGGAGAGCAGCGGCUGUUCAGCUGCCAUGUCUUCCCUGCUCCUGCUCGUCACGGGAGUCGAAUUAGCACUUGUUGAGUGUUUGCUCUAAGCGGAGCGUAAGUACUUCACUGCGGUUUCACGCCGCACCGCCCAAGCGCUGUACCUUCCCCGGAGCCUGGGGUGAGAGUCCGGGUGACGGACGGCAGACCCUGCACAGAGACGGGCGUCGCAAAAACCAUGUAUUAAACCGCCUGGUGUCGCUCCGUGA
Suricata suricatta (meerkat) is the source of this 446-nucleotide long non-coding RNA. RefSeq lists it as uncharacterized. Lineage: Eukaryota; Metazoa; Chordata; Mammalia; Carnivora; Herpestidae. The transcript has 2 exons. The record is from RefSeq and is a predicted model, not a curated record.